CGCCGCAAAGCACCGCGGUGCCGCGCGCCUUCCCCGCCCCUGGCGCGCGGCCUAUUUAAUGGGACCGCGCGGAGGAAUCUCUCCUUCCACGCGCUCGGCGGCCUUGAGAGACAUCGCAGCCCAGCCGCGGGGCAGCAAGUGAAGAGAUGAGUUUGUUACUGGCUUUGGGAAUCGUCAAUCUGGGCUCUGCCAUGCUGUUACCUUGCAAGCAGAAAGAUGUCACGUGAAUCCUGGAGCUACAGAAGUGCUAUGACAUCAGAUGGCCGCCUCUGCUGUCCUUGAGCCCUGUGUGGGCACAUGCAACCCAUAGUAGACUCCCACACUUCUAGAAGUGGAUGGUGUUUAGGAAGCUUGAAAACAGCCUGAAAUGUGGAAUGCUAAUACACUUGGAAAUGCUUUCAUGGCCCUUCCUGCUCCUCAGAAAUACUGCUUGAUUCAAGAGUGAGGCAGUGGAAUAUCUGUUCGCUGAAAAUGUGUGAAUAAACCUCGAAUGAAGUACAGGGAGGGAAAUCUGUCAUUAAUUGAACCUGGACCAGUGUUUGAGCAGCAAUGCCUCACAUCAGACAGCACAGGAGAGGGAGGCUUGGUGCUGGCCUGCGGCCUGAUUACAUACAGUGCUGAGACUCUGCAGGAAAGUUGACUAAAUGACUUUCCUUAUAUUGGUCUUCAACAGUGUAAAUUCUGGACUUUGAUUGGAAAUUAACUAUUAUUGCCAUCAAUUAAUAUAAACUUUUUUCAAACUGCCAGAAUAUGAAAACAAUGUACCCAAGACAAGACUGAGUUACAUUAAUUACCGUGUUUUAGGGUAAGAGAUGAUUCAAGUAACAAGAUGGCAAUCAACGCAUCUUCCUCAAGUACUUUCUUUCUUAAACUUAGUUUAGUAUGAGCCUUGGAUAGUGAAAUCCUAGGGGAUGAAUACAAGCAUGUCAGAAAUAAAAAGUACUGUAGACAAAUGCUGUACGCCUUGCCCUGUUUCAAGCACUUCUGUAAAUCAAAAGUUAACACUGUAGUGGUUUUUUUUUUUUCCAUACUUCAGCUGUGUAAACUUCCCACAACUACUGUGCAGUUACACUUGUCCCUGACAAAGUAUGUAUCACUAUGCGUGACUUUUUUUGUGCUAUGAAAGCAGUGGAACUUGGCACAUUGUCUACUAUUAUUACUUUUUUUGCUUGCAUAAUAUAAAGCUGUGAGAAUUUAAAUCCUAUUUUUGUUUUUCUAGAUAGCUUGAACAGUGAUCAUUGUUUCUGAAUCACUGGGUUUUUGCCUGGCAAAGUUCUUUAAGCUUUUUUUUCAACAUCAAUAUAUAAAAUGUUAUUCAUAAAUAGAUUCUUUACGCUUGAACUCUUCAAAACUGAAGGGUCUUGUCUAGAUUUUUGUUUAACAAGCUCUUGAGCAGCUUAGCACAAUUUCUAUUUGAAACAUAGAUGUGUUUCCUUCACUACAAAAAGUAGGACAUACAGAAUUUUUAGUGCAGAUGCUGAUACUGUUGAUCCAUGAACAGAAUCUCUUCUCACUCUGCGACUUGCAAGGUAGUAGCCCUGAAUGAGGUUUUCUGCUUCUGAACUCAGUUCAACAUGAAGAUUCUUAGCAAACGAAAUAAACUAGAGAGAGUAUGCAUUUAAAUAUUUAACUGGAAAAGAAAGAAUUUACUUUUUUCCCACCUUUCAACAUAGAAGUGAUGUAGUAAUAUAGCUUGGACAAUAUAUUCUACCAAUAGUUUUUAUAAAGAUGGCUGUUACCAUUCAGCUGUGCAUAGGAUAUAUGGCAGAUACUGAACAGAAUAAUCUGUUAAUUAUACUAGAAAUAUUGGUGGUUUAUUUAGAAUGGAAUAUUAAAUCCAUAAACUAUGGAGCCUGUAAACUAUUCUGUCAAAACUAGGUAUGAGAUCUGUUGUUAACCUAGUACGUUUUUCAGAAACAAGAUCAAACUGAAUGUAUCAUGCUGACCCUUUUAAAGAACUGAAGCUAAUUUUAUCAGUGAUUCUGUUAGUGCUAGCAGGAACGUGGGGCAGGGGGGAAGGAUAGAAAGUGAAUAUUGACAGGUUUAAAAAUAAGCCAUCAGAAUGUGCAGAGUCAUCAGAAUUCCAGAGACAGUGUGAUAUUCCCAAGUAUGAUGUGUUUCUAAGUCAUUGGGUAGUAUCUGUUACCUCCUCAUAAUCCUGCAUUUUGAACUGCUGCGAGACUCUGUACAGCAUGGCGUCAGGAUUAAUGGCUUUUUUCAAGACGUGAGGUAUGAGAGAAGAUAGUCGACAUGAAGGAAACUCGUCGUAUAUCAAAAGCCCAAAAACAUCUAGAAGGUUAGGUGGAAUCAAACUCACAUCCUAAAGAGAAGACCCAGUGAAGGAAAACAAUUACUUUAUUUUGGCCUUUUGACUUGUAGAAACAUCACAGGUUUUUCUCAGUCUAGAUGUUCAAUGCCCAUAUAUACGGAGUCCUGCAAGAUUGUCUAAUGAAUUACCUAUAAUGUAUACAGUAAAAUUUUGUUUCAAUAGUAGAUGCCUACUUUUGGGAAAGCUAGCUCAUUUUAGAAGAUACUUGAUGUAAAGUCACUUAAGUCGUGACUUCUUGGGAAAUACGAACACAUUUGAUUGUUUUCAUUAUUUCACAACUUGAAAUAACAGUAACCACAAACAACUUCUCGAGUACAGUUCCUGUCAUGCUUUACCAUCUGUCCAAUUAAGAAGUUAUCCUUUUGUAUAUGUUUCUUUGAGGAAGAAUCUAUAUCUACAAAAGACCAAAAAUUGGUCUGAACUGAAAUGGUAACUUGCUGGUCAGCCUCUUCUCCAUACUUCUUCCCAGGAAUGAAUACUGUUGUCAUUCUGCUCUCCAGCACUGGGACAGGACAGGACAGGACAAAACACAUCAGUUAUGGAAUUUAUCUAGUUUAACUAUAAAUUCUAGUCCCACACGCUAUCUGAAACCAGUCAUGAUUAUGUAUUCCACUGAAUUGUCAUGAUCAAUGGAUCGCUGUAGCGUAGCAAAUACAAGCUUAGAGAACCUUGGCUUUUUUGCCCUUGUUUGUUACACAGACUGGUCAAAAACAGCCUAUAGAUGUUCCCCAUCAUUUGAGGGCCACAAGCUGGGGAACAAACCUAGCAAUGAAUUUGCAUGUCUGUUUUGUUCUGUUCCCUCAUUUAUUAGUAGGUGUGAGAUUACCGGACUGUAGAAGUUCAAGUUUAUCCUUUUUAUAUGAAGAUAAGUCUGCUAUGUAACAGAUACCACCCUUAGCCAGCACAGCACUGCACGCGUGAAUACUGGCACUUCCAGUUCCGUGUUUAUCUUUGGAGACGGAAGGAAAAAUUUCACUAGAAGAUGACCAGUAUGAAACGUCACUUAAUUCUUCAAAAAGAGAUUUAGCUACCUGGUGAAGGACAAGACAUAGAAUUAUUGGGCUCAUGCAGAAGCGCAGCUCACAGCACACGAAAGAUGCCUUGUAGGAGCUCACUGAACUGGCUCUGGGAGGACAAACAGGUCAACAUCUGAGAGAAGAGCAACUGGAUGCCAGUGCAACACGUGUGCGGCAGCAGUGUAAACCCUCUGAGAGUUGCACACUGUGGGCUGUGUCUUUAGGAUUAUUCCUACACGAUUACUGCUCCAUCCCUUAAAACCUUCAGCAGGAAGGGAUUAAACACACACAGAUCCACCGUUAUCUCCCUGGACCCUGGGCUCCCCAGGGUAGGAGAGCACCAAACACGACUAGGAAGGAGCCGAAAGACCAGAGAGAACAAGGGCAGCACUGCUCCUUUGCUUCUACAGCACCACCAGAGAAAGCCUAACAGGAACAUAAACUCC
Molecule: non-coding RNA, 3791 nt
Organism: Phalacrocorax carbo (great cormorant)
Lineage: Eukaryota; Metazoa; Chordata; Aves; Suliformes; Phalacrocoracidae
Source: RefSeq, a predicted model, not a curated record